This 137-nucleotide ribosomal RNA is filed under the name uncultured bacterium. Its description in RNAcentral is "partial 16S ribosomal RNA". It matches the Rfam family "Bacterial small subunit ribosomal RNA", at positions 355 to 509 of the family's 1533-position model. The record is from RNAcentral.
UGGGGAAUAUUGCACAAUGGGGGAAACCCUGAUGCAGCGACGCCGCGUGGAGGAAGAAGGUUUUCGGAUUGUAAACUCCUGUCGUUAGGGACGAUAAUGACGGUACCUAACAAGAAAGCACCGGCUAACUACGUGCC